RNAcentral lists this unclassified non-coding RNA (254 nucleotides) under Hevea brasiliensis (rubber tree). Lineage: Eukaryota; Viridiplantae; Streptophyta; Magnoliopsida; Malpighiales; Euphorbiaceae. The record is from RNAcentral.
GUGCUGGAAUUCGGCACCAAGAUCGCCGAAGGCACGCCGAUGGCCGUUCGCGCCAAUCCCGACGUGAUCAAAGCCUAUCUGGGGACAGCGUCAUGACGACGAAACUGCUGUCCGUCGAAAACGCCCACAUCGCCUACGGCAAGGUUGAAGCCGUACGCGGCGUCUCGCUUGACGUCAACGCCGAUGAGAUCGUGACCAUUGUCGGCGCCAACGGCGCAGGCAAGACCACGCUGCUUAACGCCAUCAUGGGAAUC